Drosophila willistoni is the source of this 437-nucleotide long non-coding RNA. RefSeq lists it as uncharacterized. NCBI's taxonomy places the organism in Eukaryota, Metazoa, Arthropoda, Insecta, Diptera, Drosophilidae. The transcript is spliced from 3 exons. The record is from RefSeq and is a predicted model, not a curated record.
CGUCAAAUUUUGUAUACCCUUCCAAGGUUUUUGUUACUCUUUCCCUACCUAUAGCCGUCAAAAUGGAAAACGUAAUUUGCUGGUCCUUUCAAGAAGUUAGAAAUUUAUCUUUAUCAACAGCCAAGCCGACGGACAGGGUCCGUCCGUAUAAACACCAAGAUCACGAACACUGUUUGUAGAUGCAGAAUGUAAGAUGAAUUUUUCUUCACUUGGUGCAUGAUAUACUGAAAUCGGCAAGACGACUUUCUUCGUCUAUUUAAAUUUGUACAGUGUACAAUGUACACUUCCUUAAUAAAAAUUUGGGCUACCUCAUUAUAUAUAAUAUCUCUCAACGCACCUCUUUAGAUUAUUUUUGCACUUGAAUUAGUUGGGAACUAAGAAUCCGUCACAAUGGAUCACUCAAUAAGUUCUUGGUUAAUCAUACCUGUCGGUGGCAA